RNAcentral lists this ribosomal RNA (2261 nucleotides) under gut metagenome. Its description in RNAcentral is "bacterial LSU rRNA". It matches the Rfam family "Bacterial large subunit ribosomal RNA", at positions 14 to 2294 of the family's 2925-position model. The record is from RNAcentral.
AGGGCAUACGGUGGAUGCCUUGGCACUAAGAGCCGAUGAAGGACGCGGUAAGCUGCGAAAAGCCACGGGGAACUGCAAGCAAGUCUUGAUCCGUGGAUGUCCGAAUGGGGAAACCCACCAUCCGUCAUGGGAUGGUAUCCUACGGGAGGGGAACCCGGUGAACUGAAACAUCUAAGUAGCCGGAGGAAGAGAAAUCAAACGAGAUGCCCACAGUAGCGGCGAGCGAAGAGGGCAGAGCCUAAACCAGUCAUCUUCGGAUGGUUGGGGUUACGGACCUGCAUCAACCGAGUCCUACCUAGUCGAAUUACCUGGAAAGGUAAGCCAGAGAGCGUAAGAGCCGCGUAGGUGAAAGGAAGGACGAGGGGGCAGGGAUCCAGAGUACCACGAAGCACGAGGAAUUUUGUGGGAAGUCGGGGGGACCACCCUCCAAGGCUAAACACUUCUUAGUGACCGAUAGCGCAUAGUACCGUGAGGGAAAGGUGAAAAGAACCGCGGGAGCGGAGUGAAAGAGAACCUGAAACCGUAUGUCUACAAGCAGUCGGAGCGCAAGCGACGGCGUGCCUAUUGAAGAAUGAGCCAACGAGUUACGGGCACCAGCGAGGUUAAGCAGGAAAUGCGGAGCCGGAGCGAAAGCGAGUCUAAACAGGGCGAAUAGUUGGUGUUCGUAGACCCGAAACUGUAGUGAUCUACCCAUGAUCAGGUUGAAGCGCAGGUAAAAAUGCGUGGAGGACCGAACCGGUGAGCGUUGAAAAGCUUUCGGAUGAAUCGUGGGUAGCGGUGAAAUUCCAAUCGAACGCAGAGAUAGCUGGUUCUCCUCGAAAUAGCUUUAGGGCUAGCCUCAAGCAGUAAGCAUAGGCGGUAGAGCACUGAUCGGGAUAGGGUCCGUAAAGGAUACCGAACCCUGUCAAACUACGAAUGGUUAUGCUGCAGAGCUUGGGAGUCAGACUACGAGAGAUAAGUCCCGUUGUCAAAAGGGAAACAGCCCAGACCGUCAGCUAAGGUCCCCAAUGCCAUACUAAGUGGAAAAGGAUGUGGGGUCUCAUAAACAACCAGGAUGUUGGCUCAGAAGCAGCCACCAUUUAAAGAGUGCGUAAUAGCUCACUGGUCGAGAGGCCCUGCGCCGAAGAUUCCCGGGGCUAAAGUAUGGAACCGAAGCUACGGAUGCGGUACUUGUACCGCGUGGUAGAGGAGCGUUCCCAUUGGGUUGAAGUCGUCCUGGAAGGGACGGUGGACUGGUGGGAAGUGAGAAUGUUGGCAUGAGUAGCGAAAAGAUAGGUGAGAAUCCUAUCCACCGAAAGCAUAAGGAUUCCUGAGCAACGAUCGUCGUCUCAGGGUAAGUCGGGACCUAAUCCGAGGCAUGGAGCGUAGGAGAUGGACAACUGGUUGAUAUUCCAGUACCGGCAGCAAUCGUUUGAACGAUGGAGUGACGCAGGAAGGCAGGUCCGCGCGAGAAUGGUAGAUCGCGUACAAGCGUGCAGGCUGGUGCACAGGCAAAUCCGUGUACUGAGGCUGAGGCGUGAUGUGGAGGGAACUUGUUCCCGAAGGGAUUGAGCCUACGCUGCCGAGAAAAGCUUCUAGUGAGAAAGCUGCCGCCCGUACCGUAAACCGACACAGGUAUGCGGGGAGAGAAUCCUAAGGUGCGCGGGAGAACCCUCGUUAAGGAACUCGGCAAAAUGUACCCGUAACUUCGGGAUAAGGGUAGCCACAGUGGUGAAGGGACUUGCUCCUGGAGCCUAGUGUGGUCGCAGAGAAGAGGCCCAAGCGACUGUUAACCAGAAACACAGGUGCCUGCGAAAGAGAAAUCUGAUGUAUAGGUGCUGACACCUGCCCAGUGCUGGAAGGUUAAAGAAGGAUGUCCGGGUUCGACCCAAAGCAUUUGACUGAAGCCCCAGUGAACGGCGGCCGUAACUAUAACGGUCCUAAGGUAGCGAAAUUCCUUGUCGGGUAAGUUCCGACCCGCACGAAAGGUGUAACGAUUUGGGCACUGUCUCAACGAGGGACCCGGUGAAAUUGAAAUACCUGUGAAGAUGCAGGUUACCCGCGACUGGACAGAAAGACCCCAUGGAGCUUUACUGUAACCUAAUAUUGGGUUCUGAUAUUCGACGCACAGGAUAGGUGGGAGGCUUGGAGCAUGGUCCUCUGGGAUCAUGGGAGCCGCCGUUGGGAUACCACCCUUCGAAUAUCGGGAUUCUAACCGCAGGAGCAACGAUCCUCGGGACAGUGUUAGGCGGGCAGUUUGACUGGGGCGGUCGCCUCCUAAA